UCACCACAUGCUGUGUGAUCUGACAGAGGAAAAAGAACCCAGUUUGUUAAUAUGGUGGAUCACAUGGAUGGAUUUCCGUAUAUUGAGCUAUCCCUGCACACCUGGGAUGAAGCCUACUUGGUCAUAGUGGAUGAUAUCUUUGAUGUGAUCUUGUAUUCGGUUUGCAAGUAUUUUGUUGAGUAUUUUUGUAUCAAUGUUCAUAAGGGAGAUUGGCCUGAAAUUCUCUUUCUUUGUUGGGUCUUUGUGAGGUUUAGGUACCAAGGUGACUGUGGCUUCAUAGAAUGAGUUUGGUAAUGUUCCAUCUGUUUCUAUUUUGUGGAAUAGUUUGAAGAGAAUUGGAGUUAGCUCUUCUUUGAAGGUCUGGUAGAAUUCUGCACUAAAAACCAUCUGGCCCUGGGCUUUUUUUCAGAUGGGAGACUUUCGAUGACCACUUCUAUUUCCUUAGGGGAUAUAGGACUAUUCAAUUGAUUUACCUGGUCUUGACUCAGCUUUGGAGCUGUCAUGGUCUUGGUGUCUCUUUACAGCAAUAGAAACCCCAACUAGAACAAUCGUACUCAAAGGAAGCAUCUAAAACUGGCAGAUUCAUAGAAGCAGACAGAAUGGUAGCAGCUAAAGACUUGGAGAAAAUGGUGAGUUGCUGUUCAGAGUAUAAAGUGUCAGCUUCAGAAGAUGGAAUAGACCCUGGAGAGUUGCUGUUUCACAUCAUGCGCUUGGGAACAAGACUUUUGGGACUCCAAGGAAAUGAUCGUUACCUCAAUUCAUUCUUGACUCUGAAGAAAGUAUGAUGAAUUCAUUAGCUUACUUAAACAGUGUUUAUAGAGAUUAAUAUGCUCUUUACACUGUACAAAUACAGUAGAACUGGUUUUCUGAAAGAUUACAUAAGCAGAUAUUUAAGGAGGUAAUCAAUGAGGCUACCAAUGCACUGAAGGGACCUCACUCUAACUAAAAGAACAAACAGCCAUGAAGAAUCAAUCUGUAGUGGAGAUGUAUUAGGAACAUGUGUGAAUAAUCAAUGAGAAACCUACAGAAAUGAAUGGGGAAGGGGGAGUUCCACUGGGCUGGGGAAGCAGCCAGGCUUAAAGCUGUCAUGACAAAGUAUCAUUUGUCUGUAACAAGACGAAAAUGAGAUUCUGAUGAGUAUGGGUGUAUACUUAGUAUAUACUUUAAUAUGAUACAUGGAGGCAGUAGUCAGUUAUGAACUCAUGAUCCAUCAAAUGCAUAAGUCAUUUAUUUAUUCUGUAACUAUGUAUCAGACACUUUCUGUAUGCACAACCACUAGGUAUAUAAUAAAGGCACCAAUCAAAUCAUU
This is a long non-coding RNA of Psammomys obesus (fat sand rat), 1309 nucleotides long. RefSeq lists it as uncharacterized. The record is from RefSeq and is a predicted model, not a curated record. NCBI's taxonomy places the organism in Eukaryota, Metazoa, Chordata, Mammalia, Rodentia, Muridae. The transcript has 3 exons.